GGAGGUCCUAAUAUAUGUAGUCUCUUGAACCAACUUCUCCACGAUGGCAGUAAGUAUGGAAUCCUCAUUCAUCAGCCUAUUAGUCUGUGAAGCUACCUAUGAAUCUAGUUAGAUCCUAAUUUGGUUGGUCUCUUUUAAGAACCCCUUUAUUUCUAUGCAAUCCCUAAUAUCAUAUGAGGUGUAAUUUGACUUAUCUCCUUCCCCCUAAUCUGCUAGUACAGUCUUAAAAAUAUGAG
This 236-nucleotide long non-coding RNA is filed under the name Capsicum annuum. RNAcentral's name for it is "long non-coding RNA (CANN_LNC005193)". Lineage: Eukaryota; Viridiplantae; Streptophyta; Magnoliopsida; Solanales; Solanaceae. The record is from RNAcentral.